CAGUCGCCGCGGUAAAACGUAGGUGGCAAGCGUUGUCCGGAAUUAUUGGGCGUAAAGGGCUCGCAGGCGGUUUCUUAAGUCUGAUGUGAAAGCCCCCGGCUCAACCGGGGAGGGUCAUUGGAAACUGGGAAACUUGAGUGCAGAAGGGGAGAGUGGAAUUCCACGUGUAGCGGUGAAAUGCGUAGAGAUGUGGAGGAACACCAGUGGCGAAGGCGACUCUCUGGUCUGUAACUGACGCUGAGGAGCGAAAGCGUGGGGAGCGAACAGGAUUAGAUACCCCUGUAGUCCCUGUCUCUUAUAC
This 301-nucleotide ribosomal RNA is filed under the name uncultured bacterium. RNAcentral's name for it is "partial 16S ribosomal RNA". It matches the Rfam family "Bacterial small subunit ribosomal RNA", at positions 509 to 807 of the family's 1533-position model. The record is from RNAcentral.